RNA transcript from Aethalodelphis obliquidens (Pacific white-sided dolphin), 13918 nucleotides. It is a transcript of the gene named interferon epsilon, with no coding region annotated. The record is from RefSeq and is a predicted model, not a curated record. NCBI's taxonomy places the organism in Eukaryota, Metazoa, Chordata, Mammalia, Artiodactyla, Delphinidae. The transcript is spliced from 6 exons.
UGCCAUUAUUAGGUUCACCAAUGUACCCAACAAGGUGUAAUAGUCAACUAAUAGGAUGUGUGUAUGUACACAGAGGCAUAAGGAGGCUGGCAGAUCCAAAAUCUGCAGAGUGGGCUGGCAGUCAUGAGACCUGGAGACAAGCUGAUGAUACAUAUUGAGUCACUGUGGAAUUCCUUCUUGCUUGGAGGGGGGUCAGUCUUUUGUUUUAUUUUGUUUUAUUCAGACCUCCAACUGAUUGGAUAAGGCCUAUCCGCAGUAUGGAGGACAGUCUGCUUUACUCAGAGUCCUUUGAUUUAAAUGUAAAUAUCAUCCAGAAACACCCUCAUAGAAACAUCCAGGAUAAUGUUUGACCAAAUAUCUGAAUACUGUGGCCUAGCCAAGUUGACACACAAAAUUUAUUAUCACACCAGGUCAAUAUUACUCUCCUACCCGAUCAGCCAUCUCUUCCUCACAUUUUUUGCUAUCACAGCCCUAAAUCUUGUCCCUUCUCUUCAAACCUAGGACACUUCUCCCUCUUCUGUUGAAUUAAAAACACUAAUUCAUCCAAUUUUUAUUGAAUCCGUACUAUUCCAAGCUAGGAAUAUAAUGUGCUAGGCUGUGUGAUUUCAAUGUGAGCAAAACAAAGACUUGGCUACUGUCUUCUUAGGAGAGAGAGAAAUUAAUAGUCACAAAUCUUAUAGACUAUGAUGAAAACAAUGAAUGGGGAUAUAAGAGGAUGCAGAGAGGCACGUCAGUAGGUGAAGAGGAGUUGGAGACAAGAAGGGCUUUGAGGGCAGAGGAAACAGCAUGUGCCAAGGCAAAUGCUGAUCUCAAAGAUGGCCCUUCAGGUGAUCUAACCUCCUACUUCACCAAGAAUAUAAAUAGAAACCAUCAGAAUGAAACUCUCGACUUCCUCAUCCACACCUGCACACCAACCUGCAUCAAUGCCUAUUCUUUCCUCUUUCCUUCCUGCUAAAGACCAAGCCUGCCAUGAGUUCUCUCUCUCUCUCUCUCUCUCUCUCUCUCUCUCUCUCUCUCUCUCUCCUGGCUUCUUGCAGCCAAUGGGUAGUCUUUCUCACCUUAAAUCAAAAUUUAUAAACUAACAGGACCUUUCAAGAUUGAACAUCCUACUCCUGCUUCCACUCUAUUUUUCUCCUCCCUGGAGUGAUCAAAUUUUUGUUGGCAUUGCCUACAUUGUUUUUCCAUUUCUUCUUAAAAGCGUUGAAAUCUGGCUUCUACCGAGACUACCCUAUUGAAAAUUCUGUUUAUCAGAGUCACUAAUGACUUCCAUGGCAUUAACUCCAACAUAUGCUUUCAAGUACUUUAUUUUGCUUAUCCAGUCAGCCUCACUGGACACUGUUAGACUACCCUUUUUUCCUGAAAAAUGGUUUUCCUUCUACUGAUCUAGGCGCUCUUUAUUUCCCUUGUGGUGUCCUCUUCUACUCAUUCCUUAAGUACUGGUGAUCCUCAGGGUUGAUCUUCAGGCUGCUUGCUCUUCUCAUUCUGUAUACAGAAGUUGUAUAACAAAGAGGUGAAUAAAUGGAAAGAAAAGAUGCUCCCAACUGAUCUUAUUCUGAUCUACUUCUGUUUUAUAUUGUGCUACAUAAUUUGAUUAUAUUUCACUGUUUCUCCCUUCUCACCCUUCCUAAUCAAUCCAAUUAAACCACAUUCCAGUAAUCUUUAUCUCUGGCUCAGUGAACAGGUCUAAAGCAGUAAUAGGAAGAUAAUAAGCAAUCAAUAAAAAUGUGUUGAAUGAAUUAGUAUCAUGAGGACCAGUAAAUGUUGUGUAAGUGCUUCUAGAGCAUGCACCCACUCGGUCCUUCUUUCUUUGGAUUAAUCAACAUUUACUGAAAAACCAUUGAUGGAAGAUAGGCUUCAUCUUAUUUCCAGCUGUGAUUGAUUAAUAGGGGUCUGCUUGGAGAGCUAUGUUGAGAGCAGUUACCUAGGGAUCAGUGUGAAAGAGUGCUGUAAUCUAUUGAUAUUAAUACUGUUGUGCCUAAUACAAAUAACAUACUACUAUUAAUUGAGCACAGACCAUGUGAUAAGCACAUUAAUUGGAUUAUCUCAGUUAGAUCUCACAACAGCUCCAUGGGAUACCAUGACUUUACAUUAAUGUAACUGAGACACAGAAAUGUUAAAACUUGCCCAAGACCAACCAGCAAACAAAUGAUAGAGUUGGGAUUUAAAUCUAAUAUAUCACACUUUAGAUUCCAUGGGCUUAAGCAUCAUGCUAUAUAUAUUCAUAAUGGGGAGUGGUGGCCUUUUUUCCCCUGAAUUUUUGCCAUUCUUGGCCUAAAUUAAACUAUGAAGAGGGGAAGAAAGAAUAGUAUAGGUGAUGAUAGUAUGUAAAAAGAAGGAUACUCUGCCCUAUGAGGCCUCAGUUACCACAUCUCAAAAAUGGGUUAUUUCACUUAAAAAAAUACACACAACACAAACUUUUUUUUCCUUUUGAUAUCUCAAAAGUUGCCAAUACAGAGGAGAGAACCUUAGUUUUGGAAUUAUUUCAGAGUAAGUUGCCAAUCUGCUGCUCUAAUACUCUCAAAUACUUUAAUGUGUACUUCCUACAAACAAGAACAUUUCUCCCAUAUAACCACAAUACCAUCAUCAAAACUGAGAAAUCAACAUUGUUACAUUAGUACCAUAUAAUACUCAGCCUUCAUAUUUAGAUUUGUACAGAUGUACUAAUAAUAUUGUUAAUUGCAAAUGGACAGUGUUCAGAAUCACGCUCUGUAUUGAGUUGGCAUAUCCUUUAGUCUCGCUGAGCAUCCAGCAACUCACCAAUUCAGGUUUUCCCACCCAGCACUGGUUCCCACAGUGGUUUCCUCUUCUGAGUCUCUGCUGCAGUAAACUCUUACUCCCUGUAUUCUCCUCUCUCUCUCUCUCUCUGUCUCUGAAUUGUAGGACAGAAGUUUGCCCUGUGUCUUCCCCUCUUUUAUGGAUCCUAAAAGAGUUAUUGAUUUCUUGGUCUGUUCAACUUUUUACUUGUUAAGACAGAGUGACUACUUCCAUGCUCCUUACACACAGAACUGGAAACUGGAAGUCCCUUUAGUCUCUUUUAUUCUGAAACAGUUCUUUGGUCUUUUGUUGACUUUCACAACCUUGAAAUAUUCAGGGCAGUUGUUUUGUAGAAUGUUCCUCAGUUGGGUUUAAGUAAUGGUGCUUCGUGAUUAAAGUUAUUUACACUUGGCAGUAAGAGCACAAAAGAGAUGGUUGUGUUUUUUGAGUUGCAUCUUAUCUGGUCAUCCAUGAUUUCAGUUUGUCCCAUUUUGAGGUUCACUUUGAUCCCUUGAAUGAGGUUAUGGCUGCUGGGCUUUUCCACUGUAAAGUUACUCUUUCACUCUUUAAAACUAAUUAAGUUAUUUAGGUAAUUAUGUGAGGUAAUAGAUAUAUUAAUUAGCUUGACUAUAGUAGUCAUUUCAUGAUGCACAUGUAUAUCAAAACAUCACAUUGUAUACCUUAAAUAUAUACAACUUGUACAAAUAAAUAACAAAAUUUUACUUUGAAACUUUGUCCAUAAGAAACUUUGCUCUCCUCACACAACUCAGGCUGUGACUCUUCACAGCAGCUGCCCAUCCCACCCACUGCAGAUACUCUACUCAUUCUUCUCAGGCUCCAACGUCUCAUGCCAGGUUAUCUCUUCAUGUGGGUGCUUGACCCAUCCUCUUUGAACUCUGGCAUCCUACCAUGGGAUCUGGACCACCAUGAGUCCCUGCCCCUUCCAGCACAAUGCUUACUUUUUCCUACCCAUCUUUUGGCUUUAGAACUAGUUUUUCAGGAAGGGAAAGGGAAGCAGAGAUUACAUACUAUUUAAGAUCACUUCCAACUCCAGCAUUCUGUGAUAGAUAAAUUAGUAUGGUUAAUUUAAUUUGCAAGUUUAUGCUUAGAAAAUGGGGAUAGAGGUUUGUUGAAAUCAUUGGGACAAAUGACCAUGCCUGAAAUAAUCACUGAGGCCGGGUCAAAGUGGGGCACUGAGUAUUUUGGACUAGGGCUGGAUGUAUCACACUGAGGAGUCUGGCCAGAAGCACAAGAUCCAAGAGUAGGCAGAGAAGUCAGGAUAUGUUUACCUAUAACCCCCAGAGAAGAGAGCAGUGAUGACAGUGGAUAUCCAGAAAGCAGUAAAUGUCCAUUAGAGUAAUCAAAGCAAAAAAAGAAAAAUAUUUAACACUAACCAGUAAGUAUCUUAGUAUGAGUUAGAGUGAUUAGUAAGCUUAUGCAUUAUGGGAACAAUUCAGUUGGUCAAAGCAAUAACAUGUUGACUACACAUUAUUAGACUACUAGAUGCCAUGAACGUUUUGAUUUCUUUUGCUAAUGGUGCAAGCUGAUUCCAGACUAUAAGUAAUUGAUCUUAUACUGCCAUCCUUUGGUUGAGUUUUAAAUGCCUUCCAUACUAACAAACUAUUUUGGCAUAUUUUUAGCACACGGAGGUAAUCAGGAUUCUAAUUACAGCACUAAUUUUUUUAGAUUAAUAGUAAAUAAAUUAUGGGAAAAGUGAAGAAAUAGAAAUAUACUUUCAGCUAAUAAACUUAGAAGUCACUGACAAAGCCCAUUUUUGUCACAACUAAACUCGCCAAUUAUAGCAUGAAAGUGUCAUAUGCAAUACAUAAUUGAAUGGGCACAGUUGUGUUCCAGUAAAACUUUAUUUAUGAAAACGGGUAGUGAACUGGAUUUGGCUCAUGGGUUGUAGUUUGCUAACUUCCGAUUUAGAUCAUUAAUGUUGAGAGAACUUUCACUUCCAGACAUGUUGAGAGACUAGAUUCACCCUCCCACUUUAAACAACUAAAAUAUGAAAGAAAACAUGUUAAACAAUAGGUUUCAGACAUUGGGUAACAGGAAGCAUAGGAUAAUGAUCCUUGAGAAAAAGAAAAUAAAUAUAGUUAGCCCUAUUAUUGCUCCUGCUUACUGUGUGGAGAAAAUUUCUAGGAGCACAAGGAGGAGGAGGAAACCCAAACAGAUCAGUGAUCUCACUGAGUUGAUAGUCAAAGUUUGGAGUUCAGAGAGGUAGUUAGAUAUUGCAGGGCAAAAUAUUAGAGAGAAAAGAGAUAGAGACAAAUACUGAGAUAUAAAGAUACAGAGAUCUGUAGAAGGGACUGCUGGAGUCUGUAGCUAAUUUGUGAUGUGUGAAUUAACCAAGACUGGGGAAAAAGACCCAGAAAGGAACAGGCCAGCUAUCCCCAGGGCUGACACAGGGCUGGGAAUAUUUCAUUUUCUACUGACCAAAUUGCAAAGACUUCCUAAUACAGGGAACAUUGAGGAGAGUCCUUACAAGGGUAUUCUCUUGGUAGUGGAAUAACAUUGCCCUAGACUAUAAAGUCUGAUCCAUCCACCCUAGCAAAGCUUAAAAGCAAGGCCCCAAGAAAUCAAACAGAUUCCAAGUAAAUUAACUAUGUCUUAAACAAAGCCCAACCAUAUAUAUAGGACUUAGCAAAUUCAGUACCCAGUAAAGUAAAACUUAGAAUGUUCAGAAUCCAACCAAAAGCUACCAGGCAUGCAAAGAAGCAAGAAAAUAGGACCCAUAAGCAGUAGAAAAAAUAAUCAAGAAACCAGACCCAGAAAUGACACAGACAGAAUUAGCAGACAAGGAGGUUAAAAGGCCUAUUAUAAAAAUACCCCAUAAGCUCAAGAAGGUAGAAGAAAAGAUGAACAUAAUGAAGGAAGAAAUGAAAGAUGUCAGAAAGGAACAAAUUGAACUUCUAGAGAUGAAAAAUGUAAUACCUAGAAUGAUAAAUAUAUUGGGUGGGAUUAACAUUAGAUAAGAUAUUAGGAUAUAAGAUAAGAUAUAAGAUAUUAUUCAAUCAACUUGAAGAUAUAGCCAUAGAACUAUCAAAAAUAAAAGAGAAAAAGACUAAAAUAAAUGAACAAAACAUCAGUGGCCUGUGUGAAAAUAUUGAAUGGUCCUGACAUAUCUACAAUAGAGUCCCAGAAAAAGAUGAAAAAUGUUGGAAAAAAUAAUGUCUGAAACUUUUCUGAUUCUGAUGAAAAUUAUAAAAACACAGAUUCAAGAAACUCCUAGUAGAAGAUACAGGAAGAAAAUCACACCAAGGCAUAUCAUAAUCAAAUUGCUGAAAAAUGAUGAUAGAGAGAAAAAUUUUAAAAGCUGUCAGAGAAAAAGGAGACACAUUAUGCACAAGGGGAUAAAAUUAAGAAUGACAGCAGUCUUCCCUUCAGAAAUCAUGUAAGCCAAAAGACAGGAGGAAAAUAACACCAGACAGAAAUUUAGAUCUACAAAAAAAGAAUGAAGACCACCAGUAGCUAUGUGGUAAAUAUAUGAUGAUGGUAGAUAUGGUUGGUUAAAUGGUAACUAUGUGAAUAAAUAUAGAAGACAGAUUUCCAGAAUCUCUUUACAAUAUAAUUGACUAUUUAAAAGACAAAUAUAAUAUCAAUGCAUUAGAGGUUUAAAAUAUGUGAAAAUGUCUGACAACAAUAGUACAAGGAUGAAAGGGAAAAGAUAGAAAUAUGUUGUUGUAAUAUCCUUACAAUAUACUUUGUGUUAUAUAAUAUUGUUUGAAAGUAAACUGUAAUAUGCUAAAUAAAAAUAUAUACUUUAAACCCUAGAGAAGCUAUUAUAAAAAUAAAACAAAAUGGUGUAGCUAAUAAACUCAUGGUAGAAAUAAAGUGGAAUUAAUUUUUAAAAAUAAAUCUAAAAGAAGGAAAAAAGGAAAAAGAACAUGCAGGCAAUUAGAAAACAAAUAGCAAAAUGGUAGAUGUAAACCCAGACAUAUUGAUAAUCACAUUAAAUGGAAAUGACCCAAACACUCUAAUAAAAAGCAAAGAUUGUUAGAUUGGAUAAAAAGCAAGGUCCAACUAUAUGCCAUAUGGAAGAAACUCACUUUCAAUAUGAAAAAACCAUGUAUUAGUUAAGAUAGAUAGUUAAGAUAGUUAAGAUACAACAAGAUACACCUUGCAAACACUAAUCAAAAGAAAGCAUGAGUAUAUAAUAUGAGACAAAGUUGAUUUCAGAAUAAGGAAUAUUACGAGGGACAAAGAGGGACAUUUCAAAAUAAAAGAGUCAAUUCAUCAAGUGGACAGUGAUGUGAUGUACCUAACAGCAGAGUUUAAAGAUAUAUGAAACAAAAACUGAUAGAACUGAAAAGGAGAUAGACAAAUCCAAAAUUAUAGUUGGAGAUUUCAAGGCAUCUCUCUUGAUAGUUGAUAGAACAAAUGAUAGAGCACAGAAAAUUGCAACAACGCUAUCAACCAAGUUGACCUAAUUACAAUUUAUAGAGCAGUUCAGCCAACAAAAGCAGAAAAUAAUUCUUUUGAGUUCACAUGGUACAAGUCACCAAGAUAGAACAUAUUCUGAGCCAUAAAAUAAGUCUCAAUAAAUUUAAAUUUCUUUGACUACAACAGAUUCAAAUUAGAAAUCAAUAACAAUGAUAUCUGGAAAAUCCUCCAGCAUUUGGAAAUCAACACAAUUUUACAUUAUUAUAGUCAAUUGGAUGAAAAUGAUGUGAAAGUCUUGACUGCAGAUUAGAGAUUGUUCUCAUUUAUCCUUACAGUGUUUUCCUGAAGUUCUGCAUUAAAGAUUUAUAGAUAUAUGUUGAGAUCAGGUCAAAAAUCUGUUGUCUAGAUAGAGAAUCAGAAUGUUAUCAAAACAGAUGUUAUUCCUUUUGUAUAUUAUAAAUAACCAUAGGUCUUUGUUGAGAGAGAGAGAGAAACAGAGACACAAAUAGAGAAAGAAGGGGCAGAGAAGGAAGAGGAGAAGAAGGAGGAGAAAGAGGAGAAGAGGGAGAAGAAGAAAUUUCAAAAACACUAGUGGAGUUGCUGCCACAUUAAAAAUUAUUCAGAUAUAGUGAGAUCAGACCCUUCCAGAUACCCAGAGCAACUCAGCUUGUCUUCAAAAGAGCCACAAGAAGAUAAAAAUGUUGAACUUUUAAUUCCUAUCUUCUGUUCUAUCUGUAAAAAUAUUUUACCAUAACUAUCUAUGAAUCCCCAGGAAGAAUGUGACUGAUGAAGUCAUUUGUUAAGUGGAAGUAAAAUAAUAUGCAUUAGUUAUUUAUCAUAGUUUAGACGCCAUACUAGAUUUUUAUUUAUAAUCUUAUUAUCUGCUGAUCCUCAAAAAUGUUUAUAAAUUAGAGAUGAAAAAACUGAGUGAGAAAGGAAUUAAGUAACUUGCACAAAGUCACACAGCCAGCAGAUGGUAGAGAGAAUAUUCCAUUCCAGGUCUUUGUGAUCAAAAUCCAAAUUCCGUAAUUCCGAUGAUAAUAUAUAACAGAUUUCCUUCUUUUUCCCUAGCCUUUUCUUAAGCAAUUGGCUUCUCUAGCAGCCAGUGGGAAAGAACAGAGCCCUUAGUUCACUGAAUCACUUUAUAAAGUUACUGGUUGCCCUAGGAGAUGUGAAAACAUGAAAGAAGUAUUUGUCAUCCUGAUGGACACCAUGGUCCCAAGCAGAGGAACACUAUGUACAGAUGUCAAAUAACCAGUAAGUCUAGUGGAAUUACUAGGUAAUUUUUGAUCCUGUGAAAAGUUUAAAAACUUUCCAAAGAGGACAUGCUUUACAGAACAAUAUCCAAUACAAGCUGUGCAUAGCUUAGAUGUUAAGUUUGUAGUCAUGGGCCCAAGGUUUAACAUGACAUAACCUACCUUUGAACAGAGUUAAUACUCUGUCCAAUUUGGUGUGAAGUUUUCUUUUCUUUCCAACUCCCACUCCCUGACAUCAGUUUAAAGCCUAUUUACCUUGUUAGCUCAGAUAAUAGAUUUCUGUAAUUUGACUCUCAUGGACCUGGAUCUGAAAGUUCAAAUUCCACAGCACCCAAAAUGUUAGAAAUCUUUUGAUCGAUGUAGCUGAACUUUUGUACAGGAAAAGAUUCCUCCAUGGAGCAUGUUGACUCAGUUUAUUUCAGCUUAUUAAUACCAGACUGACUAAGUGACACCAGCAUAUAGCUGAGCUGGUAGAUAAUGAGACCACACAUGUUUACAGUCUCUUUUCAACACUUGUGAUCUCACCCAACUACCUGCAGAGAAAUGGUCAAAUAUAAGUUGUAACAUCUUGUAUUACUUUGUGGUAGAGCACAUCGUCACUCCAAGUCAACACAGGUUUAUUAAGCUCCUAUUAUAGUUGUAUAGACAGUAAAAAACAUGAGUGUUUAUUCCACUCUAUUAAGAGGUUUUAAUGUUGGAAGGUUGUAAGAAGGUAAAUAAAUAACCAUAUAUAAGGCAGACCAAGAAAAGUGGCUUAAAAGGUGCAAAGUGCUGUGAGGAUCCAGAGAAGAGAGUAAAGCUCCUUGGGGAGAGAUCUAGGCCCUAAAGGAGAAGUUGUCCUUAGUCCUUGGACAGACAGGUACUGGGAGUGAAGGAGGCAACAAGUGAUGUUUCAGAGAGAGAAAAUAUCAUUAAUACACACACACACACACACACAAGUCUAGCUAUAUUAAGGGAAUAGUGCAUCAUUAACUUUAUUUGGAAUUCAGGUUCCCUCAUACUACAUUUUGAGCAAUCUUAUCUAAGAUCGGAAAGGUUGAUUGGGGGUUUAUUCUGGAGGACUUAGAUAUGGAACUGGGAAUUUGUAAUUCAAGAAGCAUUACUGAUGUAAACUAGUCACAUUGAUUUACCAUAGUUAUUGGUACCCUAGGGAAUAUAGACUAACCAACUGCUCCCAAACUCUUUUCACGUAUAAUUUUUAUCAUUUAUAAUGGUUACAUAGCAUUUCAUUAUGUGGACUUACCAACAUUUAUUUAACCAUUCCCCUAUUGUUGGACCUAUAGGCUGUCUCUAAUAUUCUGCAAUUGCAAUAAUUUUUUAAUGACCUUCUUUUGCUAAUAUUUUCCCUUUUAUAUUACUUCCAUAGGCUAGAAUCUUAGAUGUUAAACCGCUUGGAUAAGACACAAAACAAUUUAAGAUUGCUGAUACAUAAUCUUAAGAUUAAUUUGCUCAAGGAUUUGUGCAAAUUUACAGUCCUACUUGAGGUUUUAAAUUUAGUAGUGUUAAAAAGGUCUCCUUUUUAACCCUACUAAAAGGUCUCCUUUUUAACACUACUAAAAUGUGUUUAAAAUGGAGUUACUUGUGCUAAGCCCCAUGUCAGUAAACCAAGACUUAAUAUUUAAUUUAAUUGCCGUUUCAACAGCCCAGGAAUGUAACCUUUAACCAGUCAACCUAGAAUUACCUCGUUAGCGCUAGUGAGGUAAUCUGCCGUAUAGGCCCCUCCAUUCCCCUUAGGAAGGCAACCUUGCCUGAGACAAUACAUUUUUUGCUAAUAAUUUUCUUUUUUCUGCCCCCUUUCUACCUUUAAAAACCUUUCUUUUUCUACAGCUUGGUGGAGCCAGUUUGACCUUUAAUUUUACUCAAAUUUUUGUUAUUUAAUUUUUGCCCCUGAGUGCCUUACAGGUACUUCUAAGCCUCUGAUACAUAUAACUCCAUGAAACACUACUACUUUAAGAAGAAAUAUUUACUCUCAAUAAAAGAACUUUAAUAAGCUUGAUCAAAUGACUAAAUAUUUAGAAAGCGUAUUGUGUUGAGUGAAACUUUGUGUGUAAUAAAUAAUGAGAGUAAUAGAAGAUCAUUUUGGAUGACUGGUCUGUAAUUGCCUCAAGGAACACAUACAAAGAAAACAAAUUCUUCUGAUUACUUCCUCAAACAGCCAACACAAUGGGGAGGAAAUGUCCCAUGAACAGUAUGAAAAGGGAACCAGAAAGCCUAACAUGUAAACUUUGAGAAAUGACAGCAUUAGAAACAAAACUGCAAAAGAGAUCCCCUUCCAGAAUAAUCUGAGAUGCACGAAAGGCAUAUAGUCACUAGAGUUGGAGCCUUAUCAAGUCUGUACAGAGGUGAGUGGAGUAUUUGACCUUCACCAUGAUUAACAAGCCUUUCUUUGACAUUGUGCUGGUGCUGUUGGCAUCUUCCUCCGUCUGCUCCCGAGAGCUGAAACUGGUUCUUUUCCAACAAAAGAGAGUGAACAGAGAGAGUUUAAAACUCUUGAAUAAAUUGCAGACCUCUUCGAUUCAGCAGUGUCUACCACACAGGAAAAACUUCCUGCUUCCCCAGAAGUCUAUGAAUCCUCACCAGUACCAGAAAGGACAAGCACUGACCAUUCUUCAUGAGAUGCUUCAGCAGAUCUUCAACCUCUUCAGGGCAAUUAUUUCUCUGAAUGGUUGGGAGGAAAGCCACAUGGAGAAGCUCCUCAUUGAACUUCAUCAACAGCUGAAAUACCUAGAAGCGCUCAUGAGACGGCAAGCACAGCAGAAAAGAGACACCUUGGGCAGUGAGAACCUUAGAUUACAGGUUAAAAUAUAUUUCCAAAGGAUACGUGAUUACCUGGAAAACCAGGACUAUAGCACCUGUGCCUGGACCAUUGUCCAAGUAGAAAUCAACCGAUGUCUGUUUUUUGUGUUCCAACUCACAGGAAAGCUGAGCAAACAAGGAAUGGAAACUUGAACCAUGUGGAGGAAGAGCCAACGGCAGGCUUUAAAAGCAUAGGGUGAGGAGAACAAGACUUUAAAAGUCAAGUACGUAACUUGCUCAAAGUAACGCAGCAAGCCACAGAGCUAGCAAAUGCCAGAGCAAAAUUUCCUCCCAGGUCUGCGCGCCUUGAAAGCCUGCGUUGUAUUCUAGUCACCACAAACCUGAACAGCAUUGUGCAAUAUCACUGGGAAAUAUAAUGAUGACAGUCAUGAUAAUAAUUUGCUCCUGGCUUUCCUUAUUCAAGUUCGCAUACUCUCACAGUCUUGAAUUACAGAAAGGAUAUUUUCUCUCCCGGACAGUUUUUUCUUCAGAACUAAGCACUUCCAGCAAUUGUUGAAUAAGUUCCAGAAGAAAUUUCUCUACAUGUAUCUAUUCCAAUCAGAAGGGAUGCUCUUGGAUGAAAUUAACACGAAGGAAGAACUUCUGGGAUGCAAGUUAGGGAAGAAAGACAUUGAGAAAAGGACUUCUGGUAAAGAAUUAGCCAAGAUCUCUUACCUGCAGGAAGUAUGAACCUACAACAAAACUUUACAAACUCAGAAGGAUCCUGCAGCAAUCCAAAAGACCAUUGUGAUGUUGCCAGACUAACCAGAUUUAAAAAAACUCAGAAGAUUAUGAACUUACUUGCAUCUCUAGCUUAUUUACAUCUGUAGCUUUCUUGCAAAUUUUUAAAAUACGUGUUUCAGUAUCAACAAGAAAAUGAGAAAGUAUCUUCACACUUUGUGAAACUGUACUUCACAGAGGAAGGUAUAAACUGUACUUCACAGAAGAAGAUAUCCAAACCAUCGACAAACUUGAAAAAAAGUGAUCAACAUCGUGACUGCUCAUGGGAGUGGUCUGAAACUGAACCUGCAAGAUCUCUGAGCUGUUCUGCUGCUGCUGAUGUCCAAUGUGGAAUUUCUCCAAGAGAGUCUCAUCCCAAACAUCCUGGGCCCUUUGUACUGAAGAUGCUACAGAGAAAUCUCAGGGAAGACAGCGUGAUGUGGACUCCUUGAAACUGCCCAGCAUCCCCUGGAUCUCAGAGAUCAGUCAGAUGUGUUUUCCAGAAAUAACAGAUGGGAAGCACUUGCUUUUUGUUGGAGAAACACUAAGAUGUGCCUCUUGUCCAGACCAUGACCUGAGUCACCUCACAACUUGAGCAAAAUUUGGGGCAGAAGAAUGGAAGUUCUUUAAAUUUUUUUCUGUAAAGUAUUUUGCACUGAUUUGAUAGACUUUUAUAGGCAGGUUCCCAAGGAAAAUGUGCAUGUGUAAAUGUCAAAUAAAGAUGUGAAAAGAUGCUCAACAUUAUUAGUCACCAGGGAGAUACAAAUUAAAAGCACAAUUAAAUACCACUUCCUAUUUAUGGAAGUGGCUAAAAUUAAAAAGAUUGUGCAUAACUGGUACAGAGGAUGUGACAUCACUGGAAUUCUCCUCCAUUGCUGGUGGAAAUAUCAAAUGGUACAACCACUUUGGAAAAUGGUUUGGCAGUUUCCUAAAAUGUAAAACCUAUACCUUUCAUAUGAUACAGCUGUUCUACUCUUAGAUAUUUACCUGAGAGAAAUGAAAGUACAUGUCCUCAUAAAGACUUAUACAUGAAUGUUCUGAGCAGCUUUAUUCCUAUUUAAAAACCCUGGGGAAAAAAAUGUCCAUCAACAAGUGAAACAAUGAAUUAUCAUAGAUCCAUAAAAUGGAAGAUUAUUCAGCAAUAAAAACAAUCAACUAUUGAAACAUGGUAAAAUAUGGGUGAAUCUUAAAAUGUUGAAGCCGAAUGAAAAGAAAAAGAGCACAUACUGUUUUAUUCCAUUUACAUGAACUUGUAGGAAAUGCAAACUUGUCUUUAGGGACAGAAAGGGCUGACUGGCAGGGUGAGAGGUGAGGUUGGAAAGGGAAAGGGAUUACAAAGGUGCAUGAAGAAACCUUUGGAGGGUGACUGGCAUCUUCAUUAUCUUAAUUGUGAUGGUUUUAUGGAUGUAUAUAUAAAUAUCAAAACAUGAUUUAGAUUUAUAUUCUCUGCAGGUAGGAGAUCUUUGCUAUGUCUGUACCAGAAGACCUUGUUCAAUGUUUUUUUCUUCUAUAAGGCACGUUCCAGCAGACCCUCCCUGCUAUUUUCUGCCAAGAGUGUACCUAAGGAUUGGAAUAGAGACCCAUGAAGGAUUUCUCAGCUGAUGGAACAGCUAAAGGUAGAGGUGGAUUCCCUGGAAGUACCUCUUCACGGCCAGUGUAGGGCCCGUCACUCCCAGGGCAGUUUCUUCAUCUCCCAUCGCCUGCACCAAGCAGGCGUCCAGGUCCUCCAGCUGCUGAUGGAGUCCAGUGCGGAGUUUGUCCAGGAGGGAGGUGUCCCAGGCGGCAGGGGAGCGCUCUGUGUGGAAGAGGCGGAAGACCUGCUGGAGCAUCUCGUGGAGAACAGAGGUGGCCUGGGCCUUCGGGAGCUGGCUGCCAUCCACCAUGUCCUGGGGGAAACCGAAGUCUUUUCUGUCCUUCAGACAGAAGCGAGGGGAGAUUCUCCGCAUCUGGCCCAGAAGCAUGAAGUUCUUCCUGCUAAUCCGCACGUGGUUCUGAGACAGGUCGCA